This 3020-nucleotide long non-coding RNA is filed under the name Homo sapiens (human). Its description in RNAcentral is "HSALNT0009920". Lineage: Eukaryota; Metazoa; Chordata; Mammalia; Primates; Hominidae. The record is from RNAcentral.
UUAUGUUUUUAAAGUUAUUCCUUCUUUAUUUUUUUAAUCACAGCAAUCCUCCCCUCAUCCAUGGUUUCAUUUUCUAUGGUUCCAGUUACUCAUGGUCAACCAUGGUCAGAAAACAGGACAAACUGAGAGUAAAAGAUGCAGGAAUAAAACACAGAAAUCAAAAUAAAGGGUUUACUGCUGAAAAAUCCGCUUGAACAAGCCUGUUAAUGUGAUCUUCCUGAAUGAAGCCAGCUUACCCCUAGGCCUCCACUGUCCCUCAGGAAAGAGAACACGAAAACUGGAACUCUCUGCAGAAAGGAGGAUCCCAAAGAAGGGGCCAAGCUGUACAUUUAUCAAUCAGGAAAGCCACUCCACCCUCCAUGGCAGCCCCUACAAUUUGAAACAAGUAUUCUUCCUAACAUAACACAUUAAUUCAUGAGUUUAUCAGUUCAUUUCAUUUUUACUUUGAGAUUUUUGUGAAUAACCAUAGAAAAAUCUAUUUCACCUGGCAAUAAAUAGGAAAAGGCACAGCAUAAUGUUUAAAUACAGAGAAUAUUGUUACAUGUAAGAUGUUGAUUGAAUGUUCUAAAUACAAUUUGAAAACUGCGUGAGAGGAGGAAAACGUAUAUUCAGAAGGACUUAGGUGAAUCCAGAUGAAUAUUUUCAUGACAGGAUGUUGGCUAUUGAUAUGAAGAAAGUAGAGGAAUAGACUUGCUAAAAGUUAGAGGAGUCUAGUUUAUCUUCCAAGAAGCUUUGCAACCCUGUAAUACUGUAGAAAUCACAAAUUUGGCAAUAAUUUUAAGAUAAUUUAUGUUCAUUUUUUAUGGAAUGCCAUGUUUAUCUUUUUAUAUAUGACAUUUUCUGGUCAGUAGUAAUAUAUAUAUCCUUUAUUAAAAUUGGAAAAUAAAUACAAACAUUUUAUUUAUUUAUUGGUUAAAAAAUUAUUAUGCUCAUUCUUUUUUUUUUUAACCAGUAAGGAUCUGGAUAAAGAAAAACAUUUUAGAAAACCACUUGUAGAGUACCAUGAACCAGUCUCUCUUCUCCAUUUUAAAAAAUUUAUUGACUCACUUUUUUUCCAUAACUUUUUGAGAUAUUAUUUCAACCACUUUGCAUUUAGAGAAAAAGAGUCAGAGAGUGAUUAAGAAAUCUGCCCAAUGCUAUACUGAUAGAAGCUGGGAGAACUGGGAUUUGAGCUUACAUAGGCUAGUUCUAGCAUUUGUGAAGUUCUCGCCUAAUAAAAAUUAUCUGUAAUCAUAACCAGAGCAAGUCAUUUCUAACCUCCUGUCUAUAGACACGCGGAUACAUUUGUAAUGUUUUUGUUUGUUUGUUUUUAGCACGACAGAUCAAUUCCUGCUGGCAUUAUAGUUCUUUAACUAUCAUAGCUUCUCUGAUUUUUCAACACAUCUGUCAUCCGUAUUCUGCAGGCAUAGCCAACUCUGUCAGUGUCUCCUCAGGCAAUCAGAAUCAACAGACAGAAUGUAGGACAGAAAACUGGCUGCAAACAUGUUGGAAGGGCUGGAGGAGCGAAAGAGGGAAGAUCUGUUACCUAGAGAUAGUAACUUCCAGAAGUUACCACUAUACUAGUGCAGGAGAAGCAGAAAGGAAGAUGCUGCUACCCAGAGCCCACAGUCAUUGUGCCCCUGAUGCCGCUGGAACCCCACUGCAGCUGCUUUACAGGAAGCAGGGAAUUAGCGCUCUUGCUGAUGCUACAGGUAUCCAGGAUCCAAAAGUCAUCAGCCGCUGUCCCUGUUGCAGCCUAGGGAAACUGUCCCACUGAGGUUGUUGGGGUACCUGCUACUGCAUCUACUGUCUGAACCAUGUUGCCUGAGCAGAUGUCCAGGGCUCAGGCUUGCCUGCUGCUGUUACUGCUGCCACCAUGUUUAUCAGAGCUACUUCAAGAAGAGAAGAAAUCCUCCUCAUUUCCAGUUUUUUCCAGUGCCUCCCAUUGCUUCCCAGAAUGCCAAAUUCUCUUUGAGAGACAGCUGAAAGGAAGGUUUGGAAAAGACUCUGGUGUAAGCAGAUUCUGCUUCCCUGCAAUAGGGGGAAAGCAUAGGGUGGAACUGGAGCUGAGAGCUAAUCACGAAUGAGCAAAUCAGUCUUCAAGACAUUUACCUUUCCUUGAAACGUUUCCCUUCUUUUACCGUGUUUUCCAUGUCAUUAUUUUUCCACAAUUCUGCAUCAUAUUCUGUUAACUAUUAAUGCCCUGGAUAAGUUUAUUUGCUCUUUCUUAGGGUUAAUUUUUCUCCUUUUCUUCGAAGCUUUAGUUUGCAGGUUCAGCUUGUGUGGGAAUUUUCAUCUCCCUCCUCUUCAAGACUCCUUGGAUAUCAGUUUUUUGGUUGCCUUCACCAACUCUCCCCCCACCAUCUCUAGACCAGGGCAUGGUCUUAGUUGGUGGCUUGGACUCCUGUGGCUUGGAGUCUUUGGGGAUAUUAGAGAUCCAGUCACUGAGCUGGCAAAGGGAACACUGUCCUUGCUUCCAGCUUUAUGAAGAACGCUUUGCUCUGUCACCCCACGUAAAUAAUCAUGUUAUUCAAGGAUAAUGAAUGCAGCCACCAUGUAAUCAUCACUGACUCCAUGGCAAGUACACUCUGCCUUGUGCUUUAUAUACUUGUCAGGACUCAGAAAUGGGCAAAGAGGAUCACUGGUGUCUUUCAGUGGAGUGCUGGGCAUUAUAGUGGAGUCCUGGAUUAUCUGAUUCCAAGAAUUCACACCUUGACUUUCUAUUGACUAGGUUAUUUUGCAGCUCUGCAGAGGUAGCUGUUAAAUUGUUGAAAACUGCUGACAAUGCAGCAAAUUCUUAUUCAUACCAAAGCAAACAAAUUUUGACUGGUUGAUUAUAAAGCUCUAUAAGUCAAAUUCUCAUUUGAACAGAUCUUACUAUAUUAGUGGUUCCCUCAGUAAUUAAAGAGUUGAAAUAAAAUCUUUGACAUAUGUUUCUUUUAUAACUGUAGAAGGGUCAUAAUUUUACUUUUUUGAAAAUUAUCCUUUAGCAUACAUAGUAUCUUUUAGUCUUCACAACCUGAGAGGUAAGUAUCACUCCC